This 492-nucleotide ribosomal RNA is filed under the name uncultured bacterium. RNAcentral describes it as "partial 16S ribosomal RNA". It matches the Rfam family "Bacterial small subunit ribosomal RNA", at positions 29 to 507 of the family's 1533-position model. The record is from RNAcentral.
AGUGAACGCUGGCGGUAGGCCUAACACAUGCAAGUCGAACGGCAGCACAGUAAGAGCUUGCUAUUACGGGUGGCGAGUGGCGGACGGGUGAGGAAUACAUCGGAAUCUACUUUUUCGUGGGGGAUAACGUAGGGAAACUUACGCUAAUACCGCAUACGACCUACGGGUGAAAGCAGGGGAUCUUCGGACCUUGCGCGAUUGAAUGAGCCGAUGUCGGAUUAGCUAGUUGGCGGGGUAACGGCCCACCAAGGCGACGAUCCGUAGCUGGUCUGAGAGGAUGAUCGCCGACACGGGAACGUGGACGCGAACCAUAGUACUACGAGACGGAGCAGAGGCGUACAUGAGACAAUGGGCGCAAGUCUGAUACAACGAGACCGCGCCUGUGAAAGAGGCGCUCGGGGUGUAAUGACCUUUUGUUGGGAAAAAAAAGCAGCAGGUAGAGACGAAGAGUUGCUGACGGUACCCAAAGAAGAAGGACCGGCUAACUUCGUG